This 524-nucleotide ribosomal RNA is filed under the name uncultured bacterium. Its description in RNAcentral is "bacterial SSU rRNA". It matches the Rfam family "Bacterial small subunit ribosomal RNA", at positions 28 to 531 of the family's 1533-position model. The record is from RNAcentral.
GGCUAACGCUGGCGGCGUGUCUUAGCCAUGCAAGUCGAGCGGACUUAUGGGGUAACUUAUAAGUCAGCGGCGGACGGCGGAGUAACACGUAGCUAACCUACCCUCUGGACGGGGAUAACCUACCGAAAGGUGGGCUAAUACCCGAUGUAGUCAUCCUGUAUAGGGGUGAUGAAAGGUGGGCUUCUGUUUACAAGCUCAUGCUGGAGGAGGGGGCUGCGGCCUAUCAGGUAGUUGGUAGGGUAAUAGCCUACCAAGCCGAUGACGGGUAGCCGGCCUGAGAGGGUGACCGGCCCGAGGGGCACUGAGAUACGGGUCCCACUCCUACGGGAGGCAGCAGGCUAGAAAUUUGGGCAAUGGGGGAAACCCUGACCCAGUGACGCCGCGUGCAGGAAGGAGCCCUUCGGGGUGUAAACUGCUGUCGUGUAGGGAGAAGGGUACUAAGGUGAACAAUCUUAGUACUUGACGGUACUACAGGAGGAAGCCCAGGCUAACCUCGUGCCAGCAGCCGCGUAAAGCUACGUAGA